UGCUUUAACCAUUUCUUCAUAUCUGCAACAAAAACAAUAUAUUAUUUAUGCAUACUACAACCCCGCCCGGAGGUGCAGAGGGAGAACCCAUUUCUGGGACAGGGAACGGAGACUUCCCCUACCCCGAUGCGGUAGAAGUUAUUAAAUGGAACAAAAAUAUAGGAACUAACCCUAAAGACCACUGUAUAAAAUCGUUUUGGUAGAGAGAAGCGCAUUGAAAAUUUUA
Molecule: unclassified non-coding RNA, 226 nt
Filed under: Hevea brasiliensis (rubber tree)
Lineage: Eukaryota; Viridiplantae; Streptophyta; Magnoliopsida; Malpighiales; Euphorbiaceae
Source: RNAcentral